This 114-nucleotide ribosomal RNA is filed under the name Flavobacterium pectinovorum. Its description in RNAcentral is "partial 16S ribosomal RNA". The record is from RNAcentral. Lineage: Bacteria; Pseudomonadati; Bacteroidota; Flavobacteriia; Flavobacteriales; Flavobacteriaceae.
CGAAGGGGGCGUAAGUUGCUGCGGCUGCUGGCACAGUCCCGUCAAUCCCUUUGAGUUCCCGUCAAUUUCACUGAGUUCCCGUCAAUUUCUUUGAGUUGAGUGGCGGCUGCUGGA